UACAGAGGUCUCGAGCGUUGUUCGGAUUCAUUGGGCGUAAAGGGUGCGUAGGUGGCGUGGUAAGUCGGGUGUGAAAUCCCGGGGCUCAACCCCGGGACUGCAUUCGAUACUGCUGUGCUUGAGGACUGGAGAGGAGACUGGAAUUUACGGUGUAGCAGUGAAAUGCGUAGAGAUCGUAAGGAAGACCAGUGGCGAAGGCGGGUCUCUGGACAGUUCCUGACACUGAGGCACGAAGGCCAGGGGAGCAAACGGG
Molecule: ribosomal RNA, 253 nt
Filed under: uncultured bacterium
Lineage: Bacteria
Description: partial 16S ribosomal RNA
Rfam family: Bacterial small subunit ribosomal RNA
Source: RNAcentral